GCAAGCGGUAGAGGAGCGUCGUGUAAGCCGAUGAAGGUGGAUUGAGAAGUCUGCUGGAGGUAUCACGAGUGCGAAUGCUGACAUGAGUAACGACAAGGGGAGUGAAAAACUCCCCCGCCGGAAGACCAAGGGUUUCUGUUCGACGCUAAUCGGAGCAGAGUGAGUCGGCCCCUAAGGCGAGGCCGAAAGGCGUAGUCGAUGGGAAACGGGUCAAUAUUCCCGUACCUCACAUGGUUGCGAUGGGGGGACGAAGAAGGCUAGGUGAGCCAGGCGUUGGUAGUCCUGGUGAAAGUCAGUAGGCUGGGGGUUCAGGCAAAUCCGGAUCCCCAAGGCCGAGAGACGAGACGAACUGACCACGGUCAGGAAGUCAUCGAUGCCACGCUUCCAGGAAAAGCCUCUAAGCUUCAGAUCAUGUGGGACCGUACCCCAAACCGACACAGGUGGUCAGGUAGAGAAUACCAAGGCGCUUGAGAGAACUCGGGUGAAGGAACUAGGCAAAAUGGUGCCGUAACUUCGGGAGAAGGCACGCCGGCGUAGUGUGAAGGGCCUCGCGCCUGGAGCAUGAACCGGUCGAAGAUACCAGGUGGCUGCAACUGUUUAUUAAAAACACAGCACUCUGCAAACGCGCAAGCGGACGUAUAGGGUGUGACGCCUGCCCGGUGCCGGAAGGUUAAUUGAUGGUGUUAGCCCUCGGGCGAAGCUCCUGAUCGAAGCCCCGGUAAACGGCGGCCGUAACUAUAACGGUCCUAAGGUAGCGAAAUUCCUUGUCGGGUAAGUUCCGACCUGCACGAAUGGCGUAAUGAUGGCCACGCUGUCUCCACCCGAGACUCAGUGAAAUUGAAAUCGCAGUGAAGAUGCUGUGUACCCGCGGCUAGACGGAAAGACCCCGUGAACCUUUACUAUAGCUUCACACUGGACGCUGAUGUUGCCUGUGUAGGAUAGCUGGGAGGCUUGGAAACCCGGACGCCAGUUCGGGUGGAGCCAACCUUGAAAUACCAGCCUGGCAUCAUUGGCGUUCUAACUCAGGUCCGUUAUCCGGAUCGAGGACAGUGUGUGGUGGGUAGUUUGACUGGGGCGGUCUCCUCCUAAAGAGUAACGGAGGAGCACGAAGGUACCCUCAGCACGGUCGGAAAUCGUGCAGUGAGUGCAAGAGCAUAAGGGUGCUUGACUGCGAGACAGACACGUCGAGCAGGUACGAAAGUAGGUUCUAGUGAUCCGGUGGUUCUGUAUGGAAGGGCCAUCGCUCAACGGAUAAAAGGUACUCCGGGGAUAACAGGCUGAUACCGCCCAAGAGUUCACAUCGACGGCGGUGUUUGGCACCUCGAUGUCGGCUCAUCACAUCCUGGGGCUGAAGUCGGUCCCAAGGGUAUGGCUGUUCGCCAUUUAAAGUGGUACGCGAGCUGGGUUUAGAACGUCGUGAGACAGUUCGGUCCCUAUCUGCCGUGGGCGUUGGACGUUUGAGAAGAGCUGCUCCUAGUACGAGAGGACCGGAGUGGACGCACCUCUGGUGUUCCGGUUGUCACGCCAGUGGCAUUGCCGGGUAGCUAUGUGCGGACAGGAUAACCGCUGAAAGCAUCUAAGCGGGAAGCCCCCUUCAAGAUGAGACGUCCCCGAGGCCUUGAGCCUCCUAAAGGGCCCAGCAAGACCAGCUGGUUGAUAGGCCGGGUGUGGAAGCGCUGCAAGGCGUUGAGCUAACCGGUACUAAUUGCCCGUGAGGCUUGACCAUAUAACCCCAAGGGGU
This 1741-nucleotide ribosomal RNA is filed under the name Billgrantia montanilacus. RNAcentral describes it as "bacterial LSU rRNA". It matches the Rfam family "Bacterial large subunit ribosomal RNA", at positions 1221 to 2925 of the family's 2925-position model. Lineage: Bacteria; Pseudomonadati; Pseudomonadota; Gammaproteobacteria; Oceanospirillales; Halomonadaceae. The record is from RNAcentral.